RNAcentral lists this long non-coding RNA (7140 nucleotides) under Homo sapiens (human). Its description in RNAcentral is "HSALNT0346779". Lineage: Eukaryota; Metazoa; Chordata; Mammalia; Primates; Hominidae. The record is from RNAcentral.
GGGGUCAUCAGUAAGGCACUCAAUCACCUUAAUAUCCUGUGACACCCCUUAUAAGGCUGCUGUUAUGUUCUGGUGGUUGUCAGGAAUAAAUGUACAACAUUGCGUCUCUACAAGGGCACAGCUGCCACAUUGGGCAGCUCUGACCAUGUCUAAGGCCAUCCGGUUUUGCAGAACCAACUUCCUGAUCUGAUUGACUUCAUCAGUUAACAAAAAGGAGAGCAACUCGGGUGUAAUUCAGGGCCCAAACUGUGUGCUCUGCAAGGGCUGUAACUUGCAUUUCUACAGUAGCGACACCUGCUCUAGGGAUAGUUAUCGCUUAGGGGUAGAGUCACUAGGGGGCUUGCUGAACUCGUAAAAACCAGGAACAUAGCACCUUCCAGUUAGGUGGAUGACUAGGCAAUGUGGGAAACACAGUGGCAGGCACAGAAAGCCACCCCCAGGUACAACGUCCAGUCCAAUUGGCUGGUAGAUAUGGCCAUCCUGUGUCCCCACAGACCCAUAAACUCCCUGGGGGCAUAAAGUCCAUGAAGGUCCAGCCUUGGUAAGGCAACUUAUUCCACCACACCCUUGGUUUCGCGGCAUGUGUUAUGUUUGCACAAACCUCAGCAAUAAUCCCUCAGUGACUUUACCCCAGUGCUCCCCUAUACAUCAUGGUACCUGCAAUGGGGGCACCACAUGUUUUCCCGUUAGCCAGCCCCAUCCAUCAUGGACACUAUAAGUCAGCCAGUGGCAGGCUUGCCAUGGGUUUUGGGACGUCCCCCUAUCCAAAGCCCACCAUUGCAUUGUCUAUUGAACACCAAGUCUCUAGCCAUGUCCAGUUCUGCACAGAAGCUGGAUGCACGUUCCAGGGCAAGCUGCCUGCAGCUGCUGCUGAAAGGGUGGUGCAGAUACAACAGUUGAAGACAUUGGUCACCUCAGUGUAGGUGUGGGCCCAGAACAUGAUGCUGUUGGAGCAUGCCACCUAUGGCUGGAAUGACAAAGCAAGCACAGGUACUAACAGGGGUAAAUCAUGUCCCUCAGGCAAAAUACAGGCCAACUUUUCACCUCUCGAUAACAGUGCAGCCACCAAGGGCAUUUGCCCUGGGUGAUGAUACCACACCUUAUCAGCUCCCUGUGGUCCUUUUGGGUGCUGUACCCAUGCCAAACACACAGGGGAGCUUAUGCUAAGCCACACAGACAGUACACAUGCCCUCUGGAGGAGAGUCUCUUCCCUGGCCGUUCCCCUAUGCAUGGUUAAUUGUGGAGGCCACACAUUAAAUACCCAAGGAGUAACAUGUAAGUUAUACUGCAGCCCCUCCCCCCAGGGGGCUAUGAUAGCCAACCAUCUGCAAUGAGGUGCUUGGAGGGUCCAUGGCUAACACCAGGUUUUUCUGUUCCCCUGCCUUUAGGGGUACUGGGGCAGGCAAUAACAGAUUACUGUUCAACCCUGUACCUGGUUGGAGAAGGUUGUUCUUCCUCUCAUAGAUCUGGCCACAUGGCCUGGCCCUACAUGGGUCGAUGACUAACUAGCUAAUUCUGUAACUUCUAGGUAAUUAACCACAAAGUUAAGCCUUGAUAAAUUGCCUAGCUACUAGUACAGAUUACCACAGGUGUCAUCUCCUUGGUGAUCACAGUCCAUAUUGCCUUGAGUUCAACUUAUUAGCUACUUUAUUUACACCUGGUUUUAAACCAUAUUGUGUCAGUACUAGGCUGGACUGUAGCAGCAAUCCAGGCAGCAGCAGUACUCUGGCUAUACCUACCUGUAUACUAUGCCUCAUUAGGAAUGGGAGGAUGCCCUUCCUUAUGGUAAAGGCUCAGGGUCUAGAGGUGCCUCAGACCCCAUGACUUUAUCUUGCAUUAGGACUAUAGGCUUCAAGACCUAUUGUAAUUUUACUCCUAAGAGACCAGUACUCAGUGUACUCUGCUGCUCUAAGUAGGUGCCCCACUUCGCUAAAGUGGAUGUCUGUGCCUUCCCUAUCCAGGGGGUUGUUUCCCAUGAAUGCCCAAUCUCACAAUUACUAACUGCUUCUCUAUCAAGGAAUACUGGGGCUCAGCUCCCUUCCACAGCUGGGAACAAAAGCCUAUUGGCAUACUCAGGUGCUCUAUGCACUGCUAUAGGCCCUAACUGAAACUCUGUUGUCACAGGCACAUCUAGUUUAAAUGGGCACCUCUGGUCCACUACCCGUAUGGCUUGUGCCUGCUAAAUAGCCCGCUAGGCUACCAGAAAGACUGUCUCAGGAGCAUCAUCCCAAUCCCAGGCAAGAAGAACAUUGCCACUUCUAAAUCUGCAGGAGAAUCAGAGGUUAACAUGACAUCAUUAAUAAAAUAAUGACACGUGGUGGGGCUAUGAAUAUAGCCCUGCAGCAACACUGUGAAAGUCCAUUGUCACCCUCCCAUGAAAGCAAACUGUUCCUGCCUCUCUGGAACAAUGUCGACUGAGAGGAAUGCAUUGGUCAAUUCCACCACAUAGUGGCAUUGUCUCAGUUCUGUUGUCAAGAAGUUCAUCAAAUCCAUGAUAGAAGGUACAGAUACAUGCAGAAGGAGUAUUACUUUAUUCAGUUUCCGAUAAUCCACUGUUAUCUGCCAAAUCCCAUCAGGCUUUCUGACUGGCCAUAAUGGAAAAUGGUAGGGGCUAUGGAUGCCACACACUAUUUGCACCUCCUCUAACUUCUUAAUAGUCUCAGUUACCUCUGUAUUCCCCCCUGGCAAACGGUACUGAUGAGUGGAAGUAACCUGUCAGGGUUGUGGCAGAACUUGGGGCUGGUGAUGUGUAUGUUCACCCAGUACUGGCUUUACUGCAUGGACUCAGAAUCUGGAUUCUCUGGCCGUGGUGUGCAAGCCCAGACCAUGCAAAAUGUCCACCCCCAGAAUAUAUUCAGGUAUAGGAGAAACAUACACAGUGUACAGGUGGGGAGCCAAGCGGCCAAUGCCAAGAUGCAGAGACACAGGCUUCACCUUCACCGACUGGCUCCCAUAACCGUCCAUAAAUGCAGCUUUGCCUAGAAAUUUAUCUGGGUUCCCAUAAACUAGACUGCAGUCUGCACCAGUAUCUAUCAGUGCUAGGACCCGCGGUACAUUAGUGGGGGACCAGUGGAUUGCCAGCUCCACAUAUAGCCUCUGGUUGUCUAGUUCCCCCUGCCAAGCUGGCGACCUCGGCCAGUUCCCUAAUCAAACAAGAAAGGCUCUGUAUCUCUGCCUGUCUGCAAAUAGUCCUUGAGUUGCAGCGUCUGGGAGGGAUUAGGUUGAACAACAUUGUUUUGCCCCCCACACCUUAGGCAUUUUCUGGAAUUGCUGCUCCCGGGACAAUUGCCUUCACAGAGUCAACAACAUUCCAUUGGGUUGCCCGUCAAUUUUCUCCCGAGCAACCCCAGCUGCAAGUAAAUCAAUCCACAUCUGCAUGCAGGUCACCUCCUGGAGCCCCUUUUUAUCUGGUGGGGUGGUUAACUGCGGAUGAGGCAUUUUCUCCCUCCUUACGGUGCGGAUUCUCCGGUCCUGCGAAUGGCCUUCUGCCUCCCUGAGGGCUGCCAGAGCAGUAGUCACUUCAUGUAUGCGGCACCCCACAUACUGGGUGAGAACAGCGGCUAGAAAGCCAUAAGGGUUCGGGGUGCUGAACUCAGCACAAGAUCCCUCAUGUGGGAGGUAAAGCGUUCAUCAUCUGGCCCCAUGGUAAUCAGACCAAACAUAGCCUGCCGCAUACCUAUCUCCAAGAGUAUCUGCACCAAAUUAGUAUGUGAUUGCCAUUUACUCACAGUUUGUAGUAUCUCUCUGGCAUCAUUGAAAACAGUCCAUAUGACUGUCAUUAGCCACUUGAUUAAUGUGUGGCCACCUUGCUCUUGUGCCAACCGUUGGCACAGCUGCAGCUGCUGACGAAGGGAGGGGUGAGUUGUGAUAGAAGUCAGCUUCUCCAUCUCAGAGGCGGAACAAAAAAUGCUAUCAGCUCCCUCAGACGCUGCCGGCACUAUUUACCUAAUUCCCACAACUCACUGGGGUUAUAAGCAUAAUAAGAGGCGUGUUCCACCACUGUGGACGGGGUCCCUGGGCUUUCCCCUAGGGUCCCAUCAGCUGCUUAUGUUCUACCUUCUGACGGAUCACAGGAGGAGCCUGCAGCGGAGGAGCCUCCUCCUCCUCAGCAUCAGACCUAAAGGGAGUGUCCUGCCUGAAGGACCGGCUCAAGGUCGCACUAACAGCUCUUGCUAACUCCUGUUCCAGGCUGUUUAUCUGGGCCUCCAAGUACCCUGCUUGCGCCUGGAGGUCUCUCACCCCCAGGUCCUGCUCAAAGCUGUGCACUUGGGCCCCCAGGCAUGCGGCUUGCUCCGGAAGGUCCCUUACCUGUGGCACUGAGCAUGUACUUCCUGCAGUGCAGUUAGAAAUGCCCAUCCGACUCUGCUUGCAAAGACAUCUGCAAUGGCAGUUCACAUGGCUCAGAUAGCUCACUUCUGCAGAGAGCUGAAUUUAAGUGGGACAGGGUAGCAAGAAUAAUUACUUUGACAAUCAUUUUGCCACCUGAUGACUGUGCUGCCUGUCCUGAGCUGAGUGCAGAGAGGGAGACACCCUUACAAAUGGAGAUUUGCUGGAUAGAAAUGUGGCCAAAGAGUUCAAUAAAAGGUUCCUUUAUUUAUAGGCACAGCUGCUUAAAGACUGUUACCGGAAAGGAAUCCUGAUCCAGACGCCAAGAGAGGGUUCUUGGACUCAUGCAAGAAAGACUUCAGAAUACGAGUUUUGAAUUUUUGAAUUGCUGUUAAAACUUUCAUCAUGAACACUGAAGUGAGUGAAAAGAGACUUUUGCAGUCAUUUUUUUGCUGGCUGCAGAUGACAGUGACACCCUGGGAGUUGAGAAAUGCUUGUAAGAUGGAAGGAGGCUGUGUCCCUGAAUGAUCACCUGGAAGAGAGCCACCUUAGCCAAUGAAACUCCUGCUAUGAAUGUUUGCUGAGCAAGAAAUAUACUUACUGCUUUAUAUGCCUUUGAAGCUAUAGGUUCAUAUUGUUACCACAAUUUAAAGUGCUAUAAUAAAAAGAGUUCAGGAAGCAGGCACAUGGAAGCAAUAAGAGCAACAAACAUUUACACAGUUCUCAGGUCCCUGGACCAUGAAGGGCCACAUCCAAGGAGCUACCCCAGGAGGCCUCUCAUUUGCAUUUGUCCCCGCUAAUGCAGGACAGAGAUCAUGGAAGUUGGGCCCGACUGGAUGAGAUUUGGGGGUCUUUGGAAGUGGAGAAUGUGUUUGCCCUGGGGAAGAGAGGUGAUGUCUAGGAGACCUCUUCACUCAGGGCAAGCUCUAUGACCUGCUUUGACUCCAGAAUGUGGUAGAAGUGGCAUCACAUAAAUUGCAGAGCCUAGGCUUCAAGAGACCUUGCAACUUGCCUCUCACUGACUUGAAGUGCUCCCAUCAGAGCAUCUUGUAAGGAGCAGGUGGAGCAUGUGGACAAGCCAUCCCCACCAGCCCCUGAGACAUGUGAGAGAGGCCAGAACAGGCCAUCCGGACCCCACUGUGCUGGUGGAUGAGACAGCAGAAGGAAUAUCAACCUACCAACAGAAUCCUGAGAAAUGCUCACUCUUACUUCAAGCUGCUGCAUUUUGAUGUUAUGAAACCAUAAAUAACUUAUGAAGUCAUCUUUGCUGACUUAAAGUUUUCCAUAACUUUAUUAUAACAUAUCAAAAUUAUGAAAAAUGUGAAAAGUAGAAAACUGAUGAAUUUUGCUUCUUCAUAUGGUCUUUAAGAAUCUCAAAGGCACUGAAGUUUUUUAUCUUUUCUGUCUUAGAAUAAAAAACCUUGAAUGAAAAUCUGCUUCUUGGAAAAGCAGCAAGGUUUAUGCAGAGGCAAUCUGGUAUUUGUGUGCACUGGCAGCUGAUCAUACCCAGCAUGCACGCACUCUCAGGGCAGAGUCUGAUGCCCCACAUAAUGGGGCAUGGUAAGGACUCCCAUGUCCUUGAGAUAAAAUGAUAAGGAAAAUACACACUGCUAUUAGAAUAACAGGCCCAGCUUCUGCACAUUUUAAUUCCCAAAGUUUUCAUGAAAGACAAUGAUUUUUUGGUACCAUGUUUAACUCUACAAGAAUCAGUAGUGAAAACUAAAAAUGAUACUUUGUGAAAGUUCAUUAAUUUUGUUUUCAGCCAGUGGUGGCCUUGGUCAGAUAGAAUCAAAUCUAUGAUACUUUUUAUCAGAAAUGCUUAUACUGUGUACAAACCCAAAGUGAUGGCUUUCAAAGAUUGAAUUUGAUUAUUUUCUGUAUGGUGCAGAUGAAAAAUUACUACACAGGAGAAGGUGGGUUGGAGGUGCUCACGAGUAACCAGGAAACAGUCUGAAGUUUUUCUGAUACUUCUCCUUGGUCCAACCAAAUGUGAGAUAUAAACACAAACUUGGGAUUCCGUUCUUAUGUUUUGGUUGUUUCAGUCUUUACAGAUGUAUCGAAAGGCUGUCCAAAAAUGUCUGACUUCUGUAGUGUGCCUUCGUAGCACUAGAGGGUUCUGCAGCUGUGAAACUGAAGGCAUUGGCAAGAAGCCCUCCAUCUUCAAACCACUUUCUGCUAAGGUGUGGCUCUAUAAAACCACUAUGAGCUGGGCUUCACUGAGACUGAGUUGUUUCAGUAGGAUCUUCCGGAAAAACAUGUUCCCUCCUUUACCUGGGUUGUCAUUCUGAGAACAAUCACACCUCCAAUUUUGGCUUACUAAGCAAUAGCGUUUUAAUGAUUUUAAGCCAGGAUUUGCUCCUCCUUUCCUCAGUAUGAGAGCUUAACCACUGGAGGAACCAAGAAUUCAUGCUGGUUGGGUUCUGAUUCCACUUUAACUUACUGUAUAGCCUCAUCCCUUGUUUUUCUGGAGAUUCUCUUUUUCUGCUUCACUGAUUUAUAUUUACAUUAAAAUCAAAUGAGGCCAUGUUUCUGAAAUCACAUUGUCCCUACAUGGUCAUUACAAUGAGUCUGUAAUGUGACUGAAAGACAGCCAUGGAUACAGGUAGAGGAUAUCAGGCAAUUGAAUGCUCAUCAAGCAUUCAAUUCAGGGCAAAUGGCAUAAGGUAUGCAGUUGGCCUCUUCUGAUAUCUGUGUCUUAAUCCUUUCUUUAGCCUCUGUUUUCUGGACCAAGGCUAAGAUAUUUUCUGGGCACAGUGGCUCAUGCCUAUAAUCCCAGCACUCUGGGAGGCCAAGGUGGGAGGAUUUCUUCAGCCC